CCGUAGGUGAACCUGCGGAGGGAUCAUUAUCGA
This 33-nucleotide ribosomal RNA is filed under the name Colletotrichum sp. 598. Its description in RNAcentral is "Glomerella sp. 598 partial 18S ribosomal RNA". The record is from RNAcentral. Lineage: Eukaryota; Fungi; Ascomycota; Sordariomycetes; Glomerellales; Glomerellaceae.